RNAcentral lists this long non-coding RNA (289 nucleotides) under Linum usitatissimum (flax). Its description in RNAcentral is "long non-coding RNA (LUSI_LNC000853)". The record is from RNAcentral. Lineage: Eukaryota; Viridiplantae; Streptophyta; Magnoliopsida; Malpighiales; Linaceae.
UCCCACAACGUCGACAAAUUUACUUGGCGCUCUCACACACGUCGCGCUACAAUGAAUACUGGCUCCUCUGACAUGACUGUCAACGUCGUCACCACCGUCAAAGUCCAGAUCGGCUGACAAUAAAUCAAAGUGACCCCUUCUUAUGUUUCUGAAUUGCUGAUCGAGGAUGAUAGUCAACAAUUGCGGGGGGCGUGAUUGUGAAUGGGCGCGGUGUAAAUUGAUGAAGUGCGAAUCUUUUUCGAUGAUCGAUUUCCAGCCUUUACGGACGGACUUGAACCGCAUAAGUGAC